RNAcentral lists this ribosomal RNA (497 nucleotides) under uncultured bacterium. RNAcentral's name for it is "partial 16S ribosomal RNA". It matches the Rfam family "Bacterial small subunit ribosomal RNA", at positions 28 to 507 of the family's 1533-position model. The record is from RNAcentral.
GAUGAACGCUGGCGGCGUGCCUAAUACAUGCAAGUCGAGCGAACGGACGAGAAGCUUGCUUUUCUGAUGUUAGCGGCGGACGGGUGAGUAACACGUGGAUAACCUACCUAUAAGACUGGGAUAACUUCGGGAAACCGGAGCUAAUACCGGAUAAUAUCUUGAACCGCAUGGUUCAAAAGUGAAAGACGGUCUUGCUGUCACUUAUAGAUGGAUCCGCGCUGCAUUAGCUAGUUGGUAAGGUAACGGCUUACCAAGGCAACGAUGCAUAGCCGACCUCAGAGGGUGAUCGGCCACACUGGAGCGUAGCCGCGGACCUGACUCCUACGGGAGGCAGCAGUAGGCAAUCUUCCGCAAUGGGCGAAAGCCUGACGGAGCAGCGCCGCGUGAGUGAUGAAGGUCUUCGGAUCGUAAAACUCUGUUAUUAGUUAUGAACAUAUGUGUAAGUAACUGUGCACAUCUUGACGGUACCUAAUCAGAAAGCCACGGCUAACUACGUG